UCCGUCAGCCAACUGUGAAGCAAGUGAUGGAGACAGCUGCCAGUGCCGCAGUCCCUGCCACUGUGGUGCAGCAAGGAUCACACCUUUGCAAGGCUGUGCAAAGGACAGGCAUCACAAACAGUGUUGUGAUUGUCAUGAUUCCAAUUGACAUCACGUCUCUCUUUAGAUAUGUGUACGGUGAGCAGCUAGGUGACCGACUACCGAGAUGGCUUGUUCUGGCCGAGGGAGGCGUCCCCGGUGGCCUGGAAGAGGUGCUGCAGGAGGAAACUCAGGUUCUGCUUGUGGUUCAGCAUCCCCAGGGUGUUUAUGAACUGCUCACUUCUCACAUCAAUGACUUUAACCAAGUGAGGU
Long non-coding RNA from Eriocheir sinensis (Chinese mitten crab), 351 nucleotides. RefSeq lists it as uncharacterized. The transcript is spliced from 3 exons. The record is from RefSeq and is a predicted model, not a curated record. Lineage: Eukaryota; Metazoa; Arthropoda; Malacostraca; Decapoda; Varunidae.